This 402-nucleotide ribosomal RNA is filed under the name bacterium. Its description in RNAcentral is "partial 16S ribosomal RNA". It matches the Rfam family "Bacterial small subunit ribosomal RNA", at positions 355 to 776 of the family's 1533-position model. The record is from RNAcentral.
UGGGGAAUUUUGCACAAUGGGGGAAACCCUGAUGCAGCGACGCCGCGUGAUUUAGAAGGCCUUCGGGUUGUAAAAAUCUUUUCUAUGGGAAGAAAAUGACAGUACCAUAGGAAUAAGGACCGGCUAAUUACGUGCCAGCAGCCGCGGUAAUACGUAAGGUCCGAGCGUUGUCCGGAAUCAUUGGGCGUAAAGGGUACGUAGGCAGGUAAGCAAGUUAGAAGGGAAAUCCUAUAGCUCAACUAUAGUAAGCUUUUAAAACUGCUCAUCUUGAGGUAUGUAAGGGAAAGUGGAAUUCCUAGUGUAGCGGUGAAAUGCGCAGAUAUUAGGAGGAAUACCGGUGGCGAAGGCGACUUUCUGGCCAUAACCUGACGCUGAGGUACGAAAGCGUGGGUAGCAAACAGG